Molecule: ribosomal RNA, 343 nt
Filed under: Trochulus montanus
Lineage: Eukaryota; Metazoa; Mollusca; Gastropoda; Stylommatophora; Hygromiidae
Description: partial 16S ribosomal RNA
Source: RNAcentral
UGAAUGGGAUCCCGGGGAAUAACUGUCUUAAUUAAGUAUAUAGAAAUUACUUAGUGAGUGAAAAAUCUCACAUAUAGAAGAAAGACGAGAAGACCCUAGAAAUUUUUUAAAGUAUAUAUUUUUAUAUUCUAUUUUGUUGGGGCGACAUAGUAACAGUUAACUUACUAAUUUAACAUGCUAUUUAUUAGUAGAAAGAAUAAAUUACUCUAGGGAUAACAGCAUAAUUCAAUUUGAGUUUGUGACCUCGAUGUUGGACUAGGAAAUAAAUUAUUUAGAAGAUAAUUUAAUAGGCUCUGUUCGAGCCAUACUUUCCUACAUGAUCUGAGUUCAAACCGGAGCUCCA